RNAcentral lists this small RNA (117 nucleotides) under Arabidopsis thaliana (thale cress). RNAcentral describes it as "ATSL279080". The record is from RNAcentral. Lineage: Eukaryota; Viridiplantae; Streptophyta; Magnoliopsida; Brassicales; Brassicaceae.
CUAAACGAAAAAAAUAAUAUCUACAUAUACAUUUUUGUAACCAUUUUAACAAAUAAAUCCUGGAUUUGGACUUAUUUACAACUCAAUGCCAUUAACAUUAAAUCUUUUCUCUAAAAU